RNAcentral lists this ribosomal RNA (490 nucleotides) under uncultured bacterium. RNAcentral's name for it is "bacterial SSU rRNA". It matches the Rfam family "Bacterial small subunit ribosomal RNA", at positions 903 to 1397 of the family's 1533-position model. The record is from RNAcentral.
AAAUGAAUAGACGGGAGCCCGCACAAGCAGUGGAGUAUGUGGUUUAAUUCGACGCAACGCGAAGAACCUUACCAGGACUUGACAUCCUAAGAAGACUGGGUAAUGCCGGUUGUGCCCUUCGGGGAACUUAGAGACAGGUGGUGCAUGGUUGUCGUCAGCUCGUGUCGUGAGAUGUUGGGUUAAGUCCCGCAACGAGCGCAACCCUUACGGUUAGUUGCUACGCAAGAGCACUCUGGCCGGACUGCCGUUGACAAAACGGAGGAAGGUGGGGAUGACGUCAAAUCAUCAUGCCCCUUACGUCCUGGGCUACACACGUACUACAAUGGCGUCCAACAAAGGGGAGCCAAGGAGCGAUCCGGAGCAAAUCCCAAAAAGACGUCCCAGUUCAGACUGUAGGCUGCAACCCGCCUGCACGAAGUUGGAAUUGCUAGUAAUCGUAGGUCAGCAUACUACGGUGAAUACGUUCCCGGGCUUUGUACACACCGCCCGU